GUUACCCUUUUUUUUUAAAAAAAAUCUUAAAACCCCUUUCCCCUCUUCUCUACUAAGGUUUCGACCUAGUCUUGGGGAGUCGUCGCCGAGCCGCCGCUCCUCUACCGUGGGCGGUGGUCGGAAGGGUGCGAAACGGGCUUUUUAGCCCCUGUUUAAAACUCCCUUAAAGGCCAUGCCUUCUCAGCCUGAAAACCCGAGAGAAGAAAGCCCUUCCUCCCCUUUUAAUUCGAUUUCGACGACGAAGAGGGGACUCCGACGACGCUACCCCGGGGUUCAGGUGUUAGACACGUGGAGGAUGGCGUGCGGCGAUGGUCUCGCGCGAGGUGACGUGCGAUGCUAGUCAAAGGGAGGCCUAGGGUUUUUAUUUUCUGAACAUGUUGUGGGUUAGUGGGCUAGGGCUAGUUUUGGAGUUUUAAUUGGGUUUGGGUAGUUCUGAUUUGGGCUAUGCAUGUUGUUAAUUGGGCUCUGAUAUUUGAAAAAAAAAUAGGCUGCAAAA
Molecule: long non-coding RNA, 496 nt
Organism: Gossypium arboreum
Lineage: Eukaryota; Viridiplantae; Streptophyta; Magnoliopsida; Malvales; Malvaceae
Exons: 2
Source: RefSeq, a predicted model, not a curated record